GACCAGACUCCUACGGGAGGCAGCAGUGGGGAAUAUUGCACAAUGGGGGAAACCCUGAUGCAGCGACGCCGCGUGAGCGAUGAAGUAUUUCGGUAUGUAAAGCUCUAUCAGCAGGGAAGAAAAUGACGGUACCUGACUAAGAAGCCCCGGCUAACUACGUGCCAGCAGCCGCGGUAAUACGUAGGGGGCAAGUGUUAUCCGGAUUUACUGGGUGUAAAGGGGGCGCAGACGGCGAUGCAAGCCAGGAGUGAAAGCCCGGGGCCCAACCCCGGGACUGCUCUUGGAACUGCGUGGCUGGAGUGCAGGAGGGGCAGGCGGAAUUCCUGGUGUAGCGGUGAAAUGCGUAGAUAUCAGGAGGAACACCGGUGGCGAAGGCGGCCUGCUGGACUGCAACUGACGUUGAGGCCCGAAAGCGUGGGGAGCAAACAGGAUUAGAUACCCCGGUAGC
This 448-nucleotide ribosomal RNA is filed under the name uncultured bacterium. Its description in RNAcentral is "bacterial SSU rRNA". It matches the Rfam family "Bacterial small subunit ribosomal RNA", at positions 329 to 794 of the family's 1533-position model. The record is from RNAcentral.